UACAGUAAUCUCCGGAAUCUAUUCUUCUGGGUUUCUUGUAUCUUCCCUGAGUCUUAGUUGGGCUUAAAAUAAAGACAAGAGAGUUGAUGUGGUACAACCAGAUAGUGACCUAACACAGAGUUGUUGGGCAAGAUAUUAAAUACAGUCAAGCUGGAUUUGGAGUCAUACUGCUCAGGUUUCAACAUUAGCAUCAAAUGGGCGAUCUUGAGUAAGCUCUGAGUCCUGGCUGGGAGUCCACAAGAUUCAAUUCCACUGUUGCUGUGAAGGAAACAUGUCCUUUGGUUUCCAUGAUCCAUGCGAAAGAGAAUUUCAUUAGCCAUUCUUCUCUUCCAAGAAGCCUGUGGAAACUAGAGGAGACAUCAAGAGACUGCAGCAAAAUGGGGCAUUUGUGCAGAAGAUGUGAGAGAAGACCCAACACCCUAGCCUUAUGACACCCAUUUGAGGUCCACAAGGAUGAAAUAGCUGCCCUGGGAUUGUGGAACGCUCCUUUGCAUGCUUUCUAAAACUUUUGUUUGUUUAUCCUUCACACAUGGGUCUGCUGCUGAGGCAGACGGAGUGGGGUUCUUACUUUUCUCUGUUGGUGUGUUAAAUGUGGAGACAUUUCAUGUUUAUUAUUGUUAAAAAUGUUUCAGCUAAACUGAAGAAAUACAUUGAGAUGAAUUACUCUCAGGGGACUGAGUUCAGACAUUUCACAACAAAUAAAAUAAUUGCCUUUAAUGUGAGCC
Talpa occidentalis (Iberian mole) is the source of this 725-nucleotide long non-coding RNA. RefSeq lists it as uncharacterized. The transcript has 4 exons. Lineage: Eukaryota; Metazoa; Chordata; Mammalia; Eulipotyphla; Talpidae. The record is from RefSeq and is a predicted model, not a curated record.